This 22-nucleotide microRNA is filed under the name Acyrthosiphon pisum (pea aphid). Its description in RNAcentral is "api-miR-3017b". The record is from miRBase by way of RNAcentral. Lineage: Eukaryota; Metazoa; Arthropoda; Insecta; Hemiptera; Aphididae.
CGGUCUGUCACGGAACACGGGA